GCCGUAACUUGCGAAAUGGCAAAAGGCGCAAGCCAUUGAUUUAAUUGCAUUCUUACAAAACAGUUCUGACUUGUAAUCAGGGGGUCGCGAGUUCGAUUCCUGCCGCCGGCACCA
This 114-nucleotide transfer RNA is filed under the name Chromobacterium haemolyticum. RNAcentral describes it as "tRNA-Thr". Lineage: Bacteria; Pseudomonadati; Pseudomonadota; Betaproteobacteria; Neisseriales; Chromobacteriaceae. The record is from RNAcentral.